Molecule: long non-coding RNA, 897 nt
Filed under: Zostera marina
Lineage: Eukaryota; Viridiplantae; Streptophyta; Magnoliopsida; Alismatales; Zosteraceae
Description: long non-coding RNA (ZMAR_LNC003215)
Source: RNAcentral
AAAGCUCUAGUUUGGUUUUAUAGAGUUUCCGGGAAAACUCUUAGGUUGAGUCUACCUUUAAAGAUUUCAGAGGUUUUUAAGAGUUCCUUGAUACUCUAAGGUACUAACUUGCCCGUAAAAGUUAGAGGUUCUUAAGAGUGCCCUUGAUACUCUAAGGUGUGAGUCUACCCGUAAAAGACUGGUUCCUAAGCGUAGUAGCCUUAAAGCUUAGAAAAGGUUUUGCCAUUACCUUUAGGCGAGUGAAAUCCGGCAGUUGGUCGGGACUGGACUAGCCCGUGUUUGGGUGAACCAGUAUAAAUCUCUUGUGUUGUUCUCUGUUAAUUUUAGUUUUAUCUUUCACUUAAAAAACAACACAUAAUUAAAAAGAUCCCUCUUCCAGUUAUCUGGUCAAGUACAGAGGUUGACUACUUUACGCAGAUCCCUCAUCCAGUUAUCUGGUCAACUAUCUGAGGUUAUAUUUAUUGCUUUAAAUUCUUAUAUUUCUUAUCAUAUUUAUCCAGUUAUCUGGUCAUUUACUUGUUUAUCAGAUUAUCCAGUUAUCUGGUCAUUUACUUGUUUAUCAAUAUAUCCAGUUAUCUGGUCAUUUACUUGCUUAUCUAUAUAUCCAGUUAUCUGGUCAUUUACUCUACAAUACAAUUUGUGUUUUCAAUAUAACUUAGUAUUCAUAUACUAUAGUUGUACUUGAAACAUAAUCAAGCAAGUUGACUCAGUAUUCAUAUACUGUAGUAAGCUUCAAAGAGUAAUACUUGCAAUACUAUAAAAUAAUAAUAUUCUUAUAUCAUUACUGUUCAACCAUUUGUUUGCUAAGUAUUUACAGGUAAUUCCGCUAUCAACCUGUCUAAAUCGAAAAGAGGCUAUCACCCCCCCUUAUAGCCUCGGAUCACGAUCCAACAAAAA